UCUUUUCUCAGUAGUUUGGGGUGGGAAAUCUGAAAGAAGUCUCGGAUGAACAAUCUAUCAACUUCAAUGAUUUCUUCAUCUUUCUCUGUUUUCUUGGUUCCAAUCAGUUUCAAUUCAAGAACCCAUAAUGUUUCGGUUCCACUGAAAAGACUCCGUAUAGUUAAAUGUAUAGCCACUCCUCAAGAACAACAGACUGCUUACAA
Molecule: long non-coding RNA, 203 nt
Organism: Hibiscus syriacus
Lineage: Eukaryota; Viridiplantae; Streptophyta; Magnoliopsida; Malvales; Malvaceae
Exons: 3
Source: RefSeq, a predicted model, not a curated record